RNAcentral lists this ribosomal RNA (313 nucleotides) under uncultured delta proteobacterium. RNAcentral describes it as "bacterial SSU rRNA". It matches the Rfam family "Bacterial small subunit ribosomal RNA", at positions 536 to 847 of the family's 1533-position model. Lineage: Bacteria; Deltaproteobacteria. The record is from RNAcentral.
AAGCGUUGUUCGGAAUUAUUGGGCGUAAAGCGCGUGUAGGCGGUUCGUUAAGUCUGAUGUGAAAGCCCUGGGCUCAACCCAGGAAGUGCAUUGGAUACUGGCAGACUUGAAUACGGGAGAGGGCAGUGGAAUUCCUGGUGUAGGAGUGAAAUCCGUAGAUAUCAGGAGGAACACCGGUGGCGAAGGCGGCUGCCUGGACCGAUAUUGACGCUGAGACGCGAAAGCGUGGGUAGCAAACAGGAUUAGAUACCCUGGUAGUCCACGCCGUAAACGAUGAGUACUAGGUGUUGCGGGUAUUGACCCCUGCAGUGCC